UGGGAGGAGAGCGUGAGAGUCAAGAGGCACUUAGUUCUUAACUGCAUUAGACUUAUGAAUUAUGACUUUAUAUGAUGAAAUAGCCAUAUGCAUUCAGUAGAAAUAUUACUUUGAAUUUUGAAUGUGAAUCAUUUCCCAGGAUUACAGUAUGUGGUAAAAUCCUCUCAUGAUGCUGGACAAUGGCAAAGAGCCGCAAGUCCCAGCCAACCCCAUGAUCACAAGAGGAAUCAGCUGACACUCUACAGUGCGCUGUGUUGCUGAGCUAGGAUGGUUUGGAGUUUCCUUAGGACCUGGCUUGAGUUAACCUAUUUGGUAACACCUACAUGGCACAAGAUGAAAAAAUACAAUGAGAGCUGGGCAUCAACAGUAGAUCUUGUGCAUGCUAAGCAAGUUCUCUGCCACUGAACUGCACUACAGCACUCCCUGAUGGCCUUGGAAAUGGGACUCUUGCAGGCAGUCUUGUGGUCUUUGGACAUACUGAGUUGUUAGCUCUGUAUAUUUUGGACUUGCGGCUUUCAUGAUUGUGUGAGUUGCUUGGUUAUAAUAUAUAUUACAUUCACAUA
Long non-coding RNA from Marmota monax (woodchuck), 563 nucleotides. RefSeq lists it as uncharacterized. The record is from RefSeq and is a predicted model, not a curated record. NCBI's taxonomy places the organism in Eukaryota, Metazoa, Chordata, Mammalia, Rodentia, Sciuridae. The transcript has 3 exons.